This 233-nucleotide unclassified non-coding RNA is filed under the name soil metagenome. Its description in RNAcentral is "partial contains small subunit ribosomal RNA, internal transcribed spacer 1, and 5.8S ribosomal RNA". The record is from RNAcentral.
UCUCCGUUGGUGAACCAGCGGAGGGAUCAUUACAGAGUGUAAAAACUCCCAAACCCCUGUGAACCAUACCAUUCGUUGCUUCGGCGGGACCGCCCCGGGCGCCUCUGCGCGCUCCGGAACCAGGCGCCCGCCGGGGGACCCAAACUCUUGCUUUACUUUAGUGGUAUUCUCUGAGUGGCUACAAGCAAAACAAAAAUGAAUCAAAACUUUCAACAACGGAUCUCUUGGUUCUG